Molecule: transfer RNA, 83 nt
Filed under: Acidimicrobiales bacterium
Lineage: Bacteria; Bacillati; Actinomycetota; Acidimicrobiia; Acidimicrobiales
Description: tRNA-Leu
Rfam family: tRNA
About the family: Transfer RNA (tRNA) molecules are approximately 80 nucleotides in length. Their secondary structure includes four short double-helical elements and three loops (D, anti-codon, and T loops).
Source: RNAcentral
GCCCGGGUGGCGGAAUGGCAGACGCAGAGGUCUUAAACACCUCGGCCCGCAAGGGCGUGUGGGUUCGAGUCCCACCCCGGGCA